AGUGAACGCUGGCGGUAGGCCUAACACAUGCAAGUCGAACGGCAGCACAGUAAGAGCUUGCUCUUACGGGUGGCGAGUGGCGGACGGGUGAGGAAUACAUCGGAAUCUACUUUUUCGUGGGGGAUAACGUAGGGAAACUUACGCUAAUACCGCAUACGACCUACGGGUGAAAGCAGGGGAUCUUCGGACCUUGCGCGAUUGAAUGAGCCGAUGUCGGAUUAGCUAGUUGGCGGGGUAAAGGCCCACCAAGGCGACGAUCCGUAGCUGGUCUGAGAGGAUGGUCAGCCACACUGGAACUGAGACACGGUCCAGACUCCUACGGGAGGCAGCAGUGGGGAAUAUUGGACAAUGGGCGCAAGCCUGAUCCAGCCAUACCGCGUGGGUGAAGAAGGCCUUCGGGUUGUAAAGCCCUUUUGUUGGGAAAGAAAAGCAGCAGGUUAAUACCCCGCUGUUCUGACGGUACCCAAAGAAUAAGCACUGGCUAACUUCGU
This 491-nucleotide ribosomal RNA is filed under the name uncultured bacterium. RNAcentral describes it as "partial 16S ribosomal RNA". It matches the Rfam family "Bacterial small subunit ribosomal RNA", at positions 29 to 506 of the family's 1533-position model. The record is from RNAcentral.